AUUGAACGCUGGCGGCAGGCCUAACACAUGCAAGUCGAGCGGAUGAAGGGAGCUUGCUCCUGGAUUCAGCGGCGGACGGGUGAGUAAUGCCUAGGAAUCUGCCUGGUAGUGGGGGAUAACGUCCGGAAACGGGCGCUAAUACCGCAUACGUCCUGAGGGAGAAAGUGGGGGAUCUUCGGACCUCACGCUAUCAGAUGAGCCUAGGUCGGAUUAGCUAGUUGGUGGGGUAAAGGCCUACCAAGGCGACGAUCCGUAACUGGUCUGAGAGGAUGAUCAGUCACACUGGAACUGAGACACGGUCCAGACUCCUACGGGAGGCAGCAGUGGGGAAUAUUGGACAAUGGGCGAAAGCCUGAUCCAGCCAUGCCGCGUGUGUGAAGAAGGUCUUCGGAUUGUAAAGCACUUUGAGUUGGGAGGAAGGGCAGUAAGUUAAUACCUUGCUGUUUUGACGUUACCAACAGAAUAAGCACCGGCUAACUUCGUGCCAGCAGCCGCGGUAAUACGAAGGGUGCAAGCGUUAAUCGGAAUUACUGGGCGUAAAGCGCGCGUAGGUGGUUCAGCAAGUUGGAUGUGAAAUCCCCGGGCUCAACCUGGGAACUGCAUCCAAAACUACUGAGCUAGAGUACGGUAGAGGGUGGUGGAAUUUCCUGUGUAGCGGUGAAAUGCGUAGAUAUAGGAAGGAACACCAGUGGCGAAGGCGACCACCUGGACUGAUACUGACACUGAGGUGCGAAAGCGUMGGGGAGCAAACAGGAUUA
This 758-nucleotide ribosomal RNA is filed under the name uncultured Pseudomonas sp. RNAcentral describes it as "bacterial SSU rRNA". It matches the Rfam family "Bacterial small subunit ribosomal RNA", at positions 28 to 780 of the family's 1533-position model. The record is from RNAcentral. Lineage: Bacteria; Pseudomonadati; Pseudomonadota; Gammaproteobacteria; Pseudomonadales; Pseudomonadaceae.